Molecule: transfer RNA, 74 nt
Filed under: Paracoccaceae bacterium
Lineage: Bacteria; Pseudomonadati; Pseudomonadota; Alphaproteobacteria; Rhodobacterales; Paracoccaceae
Also listed under: 1 other name
Description: Rhodobacteraceae bacterium (marine metagenome) tRNA-Cys
Rfam family: tRNA
About the family: Transfer RNA (tRNA) molecules are approximately 80 nucleotides in length. Their secondary structure includes four short double-helical elements and three loops (D, anti-codon, and T loops). Further hydrogen bonds mediate the characteristic L-shaped molecular structure. tRNAs have two regions of fundamental functional importance: the anti-codon, which is responsible for specific mRNA codon recognition, and the 3' end, to which the tRNAs corresponding amino acid is attached (by aminoacyl-tRNA synthetases). tRNAs cope with the degeneracy of the genetic code in two manners: having more than one tRNA (with a specific anti-codon) for a particular amino acid; and 'wobble' base-pairing, i.e. permitting non-standard base-pairing at the 3rd anti-codon position.
Source: RNAcentral
GGCGAGUUGGCGGAGUGGUUACGCAGCGGUUUGCAAAACCGCGUACACCGGUUCAAUUCCGGUACUCGCCUCCA